This 253-nucleotide ribosomal RNA is filed under the name uncultured bacterium. Its description in RNAcentral is "partial 16S ribosomal RNA". It matches the Rfam family "Bacterial small subunit ribosomal RNA", at positions 524 to 776 of the family's 1533-position model. The record is from RNAcentral.
UACGGAGGGUGCAAGCGUUAAUCGGAAUUACUAGGCGUAAAGCGCACGCAGGCGGUCUGUCAAGUCGGAUGUGAAAUCCCCGGGCUCAACCUGGGAACUGCAUUCGAAACUGGCAGGCUAGAGUCUUGUAGAGGGGGGUAGAAUUCCAGGUGUAGCGGUGAAAUGCGUAGAGAUCUGGAGGAAUACCGGUGGCGAAGGCGGCCCCCUGGACAAAGACUGACGCUCAGGUGCGAAAGCGUGGGGAGCAAACAGG